RNAcentral lists this ribosomal RNA (484 nucleotides) under uncultured bacterium. RNAcentral's name for it is "partial 16S ribosomal RNA". It matches the Rfam family "Bacterial small subunit ribosomal RNA", at positions 28 to 523 of the family's 1533-position model. The record is from RNAcentral.
GAUGAACGCUGGCGGCGUACUUAACACAUGCAAGUCGAACGGUGAAAGCGGACCUUGCUCUGCUGGAUCAGUGGCGAACGGGUGAGUAACACGUGAGCAAUCUGCCCCUGACUCUGGGAUAAGCGCUGGAAACGGCGUCUAAUACUGGAUACGAGCUGCGAAGGCAUCUUCAGCAGCUGGAAAGAACUUCGGUCAGGGAUGAGCUCGCGGCCUAUCAGCUUGUUGGUGAGGUAACGGCUCACCAAGGCGUCGACGGGUAGCCGGCCUGAGAGGGUGACCGGCCACACUGGGACUGGGACACGGCCCAGACUCCUACGGGAGGCAGCAGUGGGGAAUAUUGCACAAUGGGCGCAAGCCUGAUGCAGCAACGCCGCGUGAGGGACGACGGCCUUCGGGUUGUAAACCUCUUUUAGCAGGGAAGAAGCGAAAGUGACGGUACCUGCAGAAAAAGCGCCGGCUAACUACGUGCCAGCCGCCGCGGUAA